Molecule: ribosomal RNA, 253 nt
Filed under: uncultured bacterium
Lineage: Bacteria
Description: partial 16S ribosomal RNA
Rfam family: Bacterial small subunit ribosomal RNA
Source: RNAcentral
GACGGGGGAUGCAAGCGUUAUCCGGAGUCACUGGGCGUAAAGCGUCUGUAGGUGGUGAUGCAAGUCACUGGUGCAAAACUCUGGCUCAACCGGAGGAAAGCCAGUGAAACUGCAUGGCUAGAGUGUGGGAGAGGUAGAAGGAAUUCCCUGAGUAGCGGUGAAAUGCGUAGAUACAGGGAAGAACACCGGAGGCGAAAGCGUUCUACUGGAACACAACUGACACUGAGAGACGAAAGCUAGGGGAGCGAAGGGG